Molecule: long non-coding RNA, 873 nt
Filed under: Olea europaea (common olive)
Lineage: Eukaryota; Viridiplantae; Streptophyta; Magnoliopsida; Lamiales; Oleaceae
Description: long non-coding RNA (OEUR_LNC004881)
Source: RNAcentral
GAAAAUUGAAGUUUUAAAGACAUACUCGAAUUCAAAAUUUGGACUCUUUUUAAUCAUGUCUUCAUAUCCUAUAUUUCUAACAUUUAGAUACGUAUCCGUACCUGAUAUUCAUACCCUAGUCCGAGCAUCAUACCUCUCAUGCUAUAAACUUUCAUGACCAUUUACCUUUUUUGGUUUUAUCACUCCUAAAUGUAUAUAGGCAGUACUGUAGAAGCUACAAUGUUAGUGAUUAACAUUAAGAAAUUAGUAUAUUUAGGAAUCAUGGAAAAUACCACCUCUAUGAUAUAGUGCUUGCAGGCAUUUUUGGUUCUUAAAUUAUUUAUUUUGUUCAAAUUUUAACUUCAUAGCUUAAAUGAUUGUCACUUUGAUGUUUAGUGAUAGAGAUCUCUAAAAAUCCCCUGGCAUAAAGUAUUUUAAUGCUGUAGCAUUGAUUGUUUUAUUCUUAGCAUCAUACCUCUCAUGCUAUAAACUUUCAUGACCAUUUUCCUUUUUUGGUUUUAUCACUCCUAAAUGUAUAUAGGCAGUACUGUAGAAGCUACAAUGUUAGUGAUUAACAUUAAGAAAUUAGUAUAUUUAGGAAUCGUGGAAAAUACCACCUCUAUGAUAUAAGUGCUUGCAGGCAUUUUUGGUUCUUAAAUUAUUUAUUUUGUUCAAAUUUUAACUUCAUAGCUUAAAUGAUUGUCACUUUGAUGUUUAGUGAUAGAGAUCUCUAAAAAUCCCCUGGCAUAAAGUAUUUUAAUGCUGUAGCAUUGAUUGUUUUAUUCUUUCGUCUGAUCAGCCACAUUUACAUUAUCUGAUUGAUUGAUAUGAUUAAAGUAAUUGCUGAAGUACUAUCAUAGUUAAAAAAAUACCCAAGGAUUGCGUAAUAGCUGG